GAUGAACGCUGGCGGCGUGCCUAAUACAUGCAAGUCGAGCGAACAGACGAGGAGCUUGCUCCUCUGACGUUAGCGGCUGACGGGUGAGUAACACGUGGAUAACCUACCUAUAAGACUGGGAUAACUUCGGGAAACCGGAGCUACUACCGGAUAAUAUAUUGAACCGCAUGGUUCAAUAGUGAAAGACGGUUUUGCUGUCACUUAUAGAUGGAUCCGCGCCGCAUUAGCUAGUUGGUAAGGUAACGGCUUACCAAGGCAACGAUGCGUAGCCGACCUGAGAGGGUGAUCGGCCACACUGGAACUGAGACACGGUCCAGACUCCUACGGGAGGCAGCAGUAGGGAAUAUUGCGCAAUGGGCGAAAGCCUGACGGAGCAACGCCGCGUGAGUGAUGAAGGUCUUCGGAUCGUAAAACUCUGUUAUUAGGGAAGAACAAAUGUGUAAGUAACUAUGCACGUCUUGACGGUACCUAAUCAGAAAGCCACGGCUAACUACGUG
This 497-nucleotide ribosomal RNA is filed under the name uncultured bacterium. Its description in RNAcentral is "partial 16S ribosomal RNA". It matches the Rfam family "Bacterial small subunit ribosomal RNA", at positions 28 to 507 of the family's 1533-position model. The record is from RNAcentral.